This 89-nucleotide non-coding RNA is filed under the name Vombatus ursinus (common wombat). Lineage: Eukaryota; Metazoa; Chordata; Mammalia; Diprotodontia; Vombatidae. The record is from RNAcentral.
GUGUUGUGUGAAAGGAGAAGUUAGUGCUCUCCUUGAUAAAGAUGAAAGAGGUUCUAGUGACUUUUAUGAUACACUACUGACAAAAUUGU